Molecule: unclassified non-coding RNA, 347 nt
Filed under: soil metagenome
Description: partial contains 5.8S ribosomal RNA, internal transcribed spacer 2, and large subunit ribosomal RNA
Rfam family: 5.8S ribosomal RNA (bases 1-120)
Source: RNAcentral
GAUGAAGAACGUAGCGAAAUGCGAUAAGUAAUGUGAAUUGCAGAAUUCAGUGAAUCAUCGAAUCUUUGAACGCACAUUGCGCCCGCCAGUAUUCUGGCGGGCAUGCCUGUUCGAGCGUCAUUUCAACCCUCAAGCCCUCGGGUUUGGUGUUGGGGAUCGGCGAGCCUUUCUGGCAAGCCGGCCCCGAAAUCUAGUGGCGGUCUCGCUGCAGCCUCCAUUGCGUAGUAGUAAAACCCUCGCAACUGGAACGCGGCGCGGCCAAGCCGUUAAACCCCCAACUCUUCUGAAGUUGACCUCGAAUCAGGUAGGAAUACCCGCUGAACUUAAGCAUAUCAAUAAGCGGAGGA